UACGUAGGGUGCAAGCGUUGUCCGGAAUUAUUGGGCGUAAAGAGCUCGUAGGCGGUCUGUUGCGUCUGCUGUGAAAACCCGGGGCUCAACCCCGGGCCUGCAGCCGAUACGGGCAGACUAGAGUUCGGCAGGGGAGACUGGAAUUCCUGGUGUAGCGGUGAAAUGCGCAGAUAUCAGGAGGAACACCGGUGGCGAAGGCGGGUCUCUGGGCCGAUACUGACGCUGAGGAGCGAAAGCGUGGGGAGCGAACAGG
Molecule: ribosomal RNA, 253 nt
Filed under: uncultured bacterium
Lineage: Bacteria
Description: partial 16S ribosomal RNA
Rfam family: Bacterial small subunit ribosomal RNA
Source: RNAcentral